GUGCGCAGGGGCGAAUCUUUUCAAUGCUUUAAACCGUGAUCAGGGGACACCGAGUGUCAGCAUCAUAUGCUGGCUGUCCAGGUGUGUAAAAUACACCUGUUAACAAGGGGCGGGCAAGACCGGUGCCAGCCGCCGCGGUAACACCGGCGGCCCGAGUGGUGAUCAUGAUUAUUGGGUCUAAAGGGUCCGUAGCCGGUUUGGUCAGUCCUCCGGGAAAUCUGAUAGCUUAACUAUUAGGCUUUCGGAGGAUACUGCCAGACUUGGAACCGGGAGAGGUAAGAGGUACUACAGGGGUAGGAGUGAAAUCUUGUAAUCCCUGUGGAACCACCUGUGGCGAAGGCGUCUUACCAAAACGGGUUCAACGGUGAGGGACAAAAGCUGGGGGCACAAACCGGAUUAGAUACCCGGGUAGUCCCACCCGUAAACAAUGCUCGCUAGGUGUCAGGCAUGGCGCGACCGUGUCUGGUGCCGCAGGGAAGCCGUGAAGCGAGCCACCUGGGAAGUACGGCCGCAAGGCUGAAACUUAAAGGAAUUGGCGGGGGAGCAC
This 547-nucleotide ribosomal RNA is filed under the name uncultured archaeon. Its description in RNAcentral is "bacterial SSU rRNA". It matches the Rfam family "Archaeal small subunit ribosomal RNA", at positions 328 to 879 of the family's 1478-position model. The record is from RNAcentral.